Non-coding RNA from Pelobates cultripes (western spadefoot toad), 78 nucleotides. The record is from the annotation of a GenBank genome assembly. NCBI's taxonomy places the organism in Eukaryota, Metazoa, Chordata, Amphibia, Anura, Pelobatidae.
UGUGUGUGUGUGUGUGUAUAUGUAUGUAUGUAUGUAUGUGUGUAUAUAUAUAUAUAUAUAUACACACACACACACACA